This 256-nucleotide ribosomal RNA is filed under the name uncultured bacterium. RNAcentral describes it as "partial 16S ribosomal RNA". It matches the Rfam family "Bacterial small subunit ribosomal RNA", at positions 524 to 776 of the family's 1533-position model. The record is from RNAcentral.
UACGUAGGGUGCAAGCGUUAAUCGGAAUUACUGGGCGUAAAGCGUGCGCAGGCGGUUUUGUAAGUCUGUCGUGAAAUCCCCGGGCUCAACCUGGGAAUGGCGAUGGAGACUGCAAGGCUGGAAUCUGGCAGAGGGGGGGUAGAAUUCCACGUGUAGCAGUGAAAUGCGUAGAGAUGUGGAGGAACACCGAUGGCGGAAGGCAGCCCCCCUGGGUCAAGAUUGACGCUCAUGCACGAAAGCGUGGGGAGCAAACAGG